GAUGAACGCUGGCGGCGUGCCUAAUACAUGCAAGUCGAGCGAACAGACGAGGAGCUUGCUCCUCUGACGUUAGCGGCGGACGGGUGAGUAACACGUGGAUAACCUACCUAUAAGACUGGGAUAACUUCGGGAAACCGGAGCUAAUACCGGAUAAUAUAUAGAACCGCAUGGUUCAAUAGUGAAAGACGGUUUUGCUGUCACUUAUAGAUGGAUCCGCGCCGCAUUAGCUAGUUGGUAAGGUAACGGCUUACCAAGGCAACGAUGCGUAGCCGACCUGAGAGGGUGAUCGGCCACACUGGAACUGAGACACGGUCCAGACUCCUACGGGAGGCAGCAGUAGGGAAUCUUCCGCAAUGGGCGAAAGCCUGACGGAGCAACGCCGCGUGAGUGAUGAAGGUCUUCGGAUCGUAAAACUCUGUUAUUAGGGAAGAACAAAUGUGUAAGUAACUAUGCACGUCUUGACGGUACCUAAUCAGAAAGCCACGGCUAACUACGUG
This 497-nucleotide ribosomal RNA is filed under the name uncultured bacterium. RNAcentral describes it as "partial 16S ribosomal RNA". It matches the Rfam family "Bacterial small subunit ribosomal RNA", at positions 28 to 507 of the family's 1533-position model. The record is from RNAcentral.